RNAcentral lists this ribosomal RNA (408 nucleotides) under uncultured bacterium. RNAcentral describes it as "partial 16S ribosomal RNA". It matches the Rfam family "Bacterial small subunit ribosomal RNA", at positions 28 to 526 of the family's 1533-position model. The record is from RNAcentral.
GACGAACGCUGGCGGCGUGCUUAACACAUGCAAGUCGAACGAAGUGGCGAACGGGUGAGUAACGCGUAAUCAACCUGCCCUUCAGCGGGGGACAACAGUUGGACACGACUGCUCAUAACGCAUACUGCAGGUGGGGAUUCCAUCUGAUUAGCUAGUUGGAGGGGUAACGGUCCACCAAGGCGAUGAUCAGUAGCCGGUCGGAGGGGAUGAACGGACAAAGUGGGACGGAGACACGGGCCAGAGUCCUACGGGAGGCAGCAGUGGGGAAUAUUCCGCAAUGGAGGAAAGUCUGACGGAGCAACGCGGCGUGAGGGAUGACGGCCUUUGGGUUGUAAAGCUCUGUUUAUCGGGACGCGGUACCGGAAUAGAAAGCCACGGCUAACUACGUGCCAGCAGCCGCGGUAAUUC